UACGGGGGGGGCAAGCGUUGUUCGGAAUUACUGGGCGUAAAGGGCUCGUAGGCGGCCAACUAAGUCAGACGUGAAAUCCCUCGGCUUAACCGGGGAACUGCAUCUGAUACUGGAUGGCUUGAGUUCGGGAGAGGGAUGCGGAAUUCCAGGUGUAGCGGUGAAAUGCGUAGAUAUCUGGAGGAACACCGGUGGCGAAGGCGGCAUCCUGGACCGGCACUGACGCUGAGGAGCGAAAGCGUGGGGAGCGAACCGG
Molecule: ribosomal RNA, 253 nt
Filed under: uncultured bacterium
Lineage: Bacteria
Description: partial 16S ribosomal RNA
Rfam family: Bacterial small subunit ribosomal RNA
Source: RNAcentral